AUCACUUCUCGGCCUUUUGGCUAAGAUCAAGUGUAAUAAUUUAGGGGUUAUUUUGUAAUGUUUUUAAGACCAACUUUUUAAGUUUUUUUAAGGCUAAGCAUACUCUCAUAGUGAGCUAAGUGUACACUAU
This 130-nucleotide small nuclear RNA is filed under the name Fukomys damarensis (Damara mole-rat). RNAcentral's name for it is "U2 spliceosomal RNA". It matches the Rfam family "U2 spliceosomal RNA". From Rfam's summary of the family: U2 is a small nuclear RNA (snRNA) component of the spliceosome (involved in pre-mRNA splicing). The record is from Rfam by way of RNAcentral. Lineage: Eukaryota; Metazoa; Chordata; Mammalia; Rodentia; Bathyergidae.